RNAcentral lists this ribosomal RNA (540 nucleotides) under uncultured bacterium. Its description in RNAcentral is "bacterial SSU rRNA". It matches the Rfam family "Bacterial small subunit ribosomal RNA", at positions 777 to 1319 of the family's 1533-position model. The record is from RNAcentral.
AAUAGAUACCCAGGUAGUCCAUGCCGUAAACGAUGUCUACUAGCCGUUGGGGCCUUUGAGGCUUUAGUGGCGCAGCUAACGCGAUAAGUAGACCGCCUGGGGAGUACGGUCGCAAGACUAAAACUCAAAUGAAUUGACGGGGGCCCGCACAAGCGGUGGAGCAUGUGGUUUAAUUCGAUGCAACGCGAAGAACCUUACCUGGUCUUGACAUAGUAAGAACUUUCCAGAGAUGGAUUGGUGCCUUCGGGAACUUACAUACAGGUGCUGCAUGGCUGUCGUCAGCUCGUGUCGUGAGAUGUUGGGUUAAGUCCCGCAACGAGCGCAACCCUUUUCCUAUUUGCCAGCGGUUAAACCGGACUUUAAGGAUACUGCCAGUGACAAACUGGAGGAAGGCGGGGACGACGUCAAGUCAUCAUGGCCCUUAGACCAGGGCUACACACGUGCUACAAUGGUCGGUACAAAGGGUUGCGUACCACGCGAGUGGAUGCUAAUCUCAAAAAGCCGAUCGUAGUCCGGAUUGGAGUCCUGCAACUCGACUCC